GGAGCUAUAGCUCAGUUGGUUAGAGCGCAGGUCUCAUACCACUUUACGUAUGAUUCUCCCGAAAACAAAAACGGGAGGAGUAAUCCUGAGGUCGAGAGUUCGAAUCUCCCUAGCUUCA
Molecule: transfer RNA, 118 nt
Filed under: Coniochaeta sp. 2T2.1
Lineage: Eukaryota; Fungi; Ascomycota; Sordariomycetes; Coniochaetales; Coniochaetaceae
Rfam family: tRNA
About the family: Transfer RNA (tRNA) molecules are approximately 80 nucleotides in length.
Source: Rfam by way of RNAcentral